CCUACGGGUGGCUGCAGUAAGGAAUAUUGGACAAUGCCCGCAAGGGUGAUCCAGCCAUGCCGCGUGCAGGAAGACGGCCCUAUGGGUUGUAAACUGCUUUUACACCGGAGAAAACCUACCCUCGUGAGGGUAGCUGAUAGUAUGGUGAGAAUAAGCAUCGGCUAACUUCGUGCCAGCAGCCGCGGUAAGACGAAGGAUGCAAGCGUUAUCCGGAUUCAUUGGGUUUAAAGGGAGCGUAGGUGGCCUUAUAAGUCAGUGGUGAAAUCUCUGGGCUU
This 275-nucleotide ribosomal RNA is filed under the name uncultured bacterium. RNAcentral describes it as "partial 16S ribosomal RNA". It matches the Rfam family "Bacterial small subunit ribosomal RNA", at positions 338 to 610 of the family's 1533-position model. The record is from RNAcentral.